RNAcentral lists this transfer RNA (76 nucleotides) under Thermodesulfovibrio yellowstonii. RNAcentral describes it as "tRNA-Lys". It matches the Rfam family "tRNA". Rfam says of the family: Transfer RNA (tRNA) molecules are approximately 80 nucleotides in length. Their secondary structure includes four short double-helical elements and three loops (D, anti-codon, and T loops). Lineage: Bacteria; Pseudomonadati; Nitrospirota; Thermodesulfovibrionia; Thermodesulfovibrionales; Thermodesulfovibrionaceae. RNAcentral also lists the same sequence under 5 other names. The record is from RNAcentral.
GGACCAUUAGCUCAACUGGUAGAGCAUCCGACUCUUAAUCGGAGGGUUGCAGGUUCGAGUCCUGCAUGGUCCACCA